This 1731-nucleotide ribosomal RNA is filed under the name Streptomyces violaceus. RNAcentral describes it as "bacterial LSU rRNA". It matches the Rfam family "Bacterial large subunit ribosomal RNA", at positions 1215 to 2825 of the family's 2925-position model. The record is from RNAcentral. Lineage: Bacteria; Bacillati; Actinomycetota; Actinomycetes; Kitasatosporales; Streptomycetaceae.
CCUGUGUGGAUGGGUAGGGGAGCGUCGUGUGCCGGGUGAAGCAGCCGCGGAAGCGAGUUGUGGACGGUUCACGAGUGAGAAUGCAGGCAUGAGUAGCGAUACAAACGUGAGAAACGUUUGCGCCGAUUGACUAAGGGUUCCUGGGUCAAGCUGAUCUGCCCAGGGUAAGUCGGGACCUAAGGCGAGGCCGACAGGCGUAGUCGAUGGAUAACCGGUUGAUAUUCCGGUACCCGCUGUGAAGCGUCAAACAUCGAGCAUCGUGAUGCUAAGGCCGUGAAGCCGUUCCGGACCCUUCGGGGAAAGGAAAGUGGUGGAGCCGCCGAACCAAGCGGUUAGUAGGUGAGUGAUGGGGUGACGCAGGAAGGUAGUCCAUCCCGGGCGGUGGUUGUCCCGGGGUAAGGGUGUAGCCCGUCAUCUAGGUAAAUCCGGGUGACAUGUGGGUGAGACCUGAUGCCGAGCCGAUUGUGGUGAAGUGGAUGAUCCUAUGCUGUCGAGAAAAGCCUCUAGCGAGUUUCAUGGCGGCCCGUACCCUAAACCGACUCAGGUGGUCAGGUAGAGAAUACCGAGGCGUUCGGGUGAACUAUGGUUAAGGAACUCGGCAAAAUGCCCCCGUAACUUCGGGAGAAGGGGGGCCACACCUGGUGAGAACACUUGCUGUUCGAGCUGGGGGUGGCCGCAGAGACCAGCGAGAAGCGACUGUUUACUAAAAACACAGGUCCGUGCGAAGCCGUAAGGCGAUGUAUACGGACUGACGCCUGCCCGGUGCUGGAACGUUAAGGGGACCGGUUAGUCACUCUUCGGGGUGGCGAAGCUGAGAACUUAAGCGCCAGUAAACGGCGGUGGUAACUAUAACCAUCCUAAGGUAGCGAAAUUCCUUGUCGGGUAAGUUCCGACCUGCACGAAUGGCGUAACGACUUCUCGACUGUCUCAACCAUAGGCCCGGUGAAAUUGCACUACGAGUAAAGAUGCUCGUUUCGCGCAGCAGGACGGAAAGACCCCGGGACCUUUACUACAGUUUGAUAUUGGUGUUCGGUUCGGCUUGUGUAGGAUAGCUGGGAGACUUUGAAACUCGCACGCCAGUGUGGGUGGAGUCGUCGUUGAAAUACCAGUCUGGUCGUGCUGGAUGUCUAACCUGGGUCCGUGAUCCGGAUCAGGGACAGUGUCUGAUGGGUAGUUUAACUGGGGCGGUUGCCUCCUAAAGAGUAACGGAGGCGCCCAAAGGUUCCCUCAGCCUGGUUGGCAAUCAGGUGUUGAGUGUAAGUGCACAAGGGAGCUUGACUGUGAGACCGACGGGUCGAGCAGGGACGAAAGUCGGGACUAGUGAUCCGGCGGUGGCUUGUGGAAGCGCCGUCGCUCAACGGAUAAAAGGUACCCCGGGGAUAACAGGCUGAUCUUCCCCAAGAGUCCAUAUCGACGGGAUGGUUUGGCACCUCGAUGUCGGCUCGUCGCAUCCUGGGGCUGGAGUCGGUCCCAAGGGUUGGGCUGUUCGCCCAUUAAAGCGGUACGCGAGCUGGGUUUAGAACGUCGUGAGACAGUUCGGUCCCUAUCCGCUGUGCGCGUAGGAAUAUUGAGAAGGGCUGUCCCUAGUACGAGAGGACCGGGACGGACGAACCUCUGGUGUGCCAGUUGUUCUGCCAAGGGCAUGGCUGGUUGGCUACGUUCGGGAGGGAUAACCGCUGAAAGCAUCUAAGCGGGAAGCCUGCUUCGAGAUGAGUAUUCCCACCUCCUUGA